CUCGAUUUAAUAUCCACAUUUAAAAAUUGAUAAAUUCAAAUAAUGGUAAAUCACAUCUCAAGAUACCUAGUGCAAUAUCAAUAUCAAUUCUUUGGAUAGUAAUAUUAAUUGUAAGCGGUACUUUUAGUGUAGUGGUCAAACAUUAACAAUAACUCCUGUCAAAUAAUAAACACAUCUUUGGAUUGAUUUAUUAGUCACAUGGAAACCUUAUAAUUGUCACACAUUCAUCACCACAAGUGUGUAUGUAAUUCGGCCAGAUAUUAACCUUCCUUUGGGUCGGCUAAUUUCCACAUGAAAAGAUACACACACAACAUCCAAGCAUCCUAAACAAACCAAUUUACACAAAAGAGGUCACUUUGGUGACAUAUUGUUUCAAUUAGUUUACUUAAAAUGCUUGACAACCUUAUUAUUUUUUUUUUAUAUUAAUGAUUACCAAAAUUUUGAAUUAGAUUGUCACAAAUAAUUAAACGUUAACUAAUACCUCUUAAAGAAGUAUUAGUACCGAAAUUUGAGAAAGAGAAACCCCAAUUUGCAUCAAUAGAUACCUAUGAAAACU
RNAcentral lists this long non-coding RNA (556 nucleotides) under Olea europaea subsp. europaea. The record is from RNAcentral. Lineage: Eukaryota; Viridiplantae; Streptophyta; Magnoliopsida; Lamiales; Oleaceae.